Lytechinus variegatus (green sea urchin) is the source of this 3087-nucleotide long non-coding RNA. RefSeq lists it as uncharacterized. The record is from RefSeq and is a predicted model, not a curated record. Lineage: Eukaryota; Metazoa; Echinodermata; Echinoidea; Temnopleuroida; Toxopneustidae. The transcript has 3 exons.
CUACAUGUAUGAAUAUUGAAGCUCCAGAUCAAUAAUGUUACGAGUGUAGAAAUUAUUAUUAAAAUGCAUAUCCUGAUUGAAUUAUUUAAAGAGAAAUUACUCCAGGGCCCCAUCUUACAAAUAGUUAUGGUAUGAUCGAACCGAUCUACCUCAACUGUAUGGAGAUCCAUUGAUGUCAUAAUUUUUGUCUACAAUUUGUACAGUGUUCUUUGUUGUUAUGUAAACAAAGAGAAGCACACUGAAUUUUUCAAGAAAUGAAUGUAUGAAUUAACAGCAUAUCUAAACACUGUUUUGAGCAAACAUGCAUUUUAGGUGUUGAUGUUGCUGGCUUUCCAUAGUUAUGGUUGAUCGUAUCAAUCGUAACUCUUUGUAAGAUGGGCCCUGGUCACUUUCAAUGUGGAAAGACAGAAAAGAAAAUGCUUAUUUGUUGUUCAGACAGACAAUUGUCGUUAAUUUCUUAAAUUAUUUCCAUUUUAGUGAGUCAGACUUGAGCGGUUGACCUUUCUUCUGUUUUGUGGACUGACACAUUGAGCAUAUCAUUGAUAACGUUUUCAACAACUUACAUCUAGUCAUUCAAUGUGAAGAGAAUUCAUUGAUUAAAAAUAAAGGCAGAGGCUUUGAUUCUUUGUUUCUUUCCUGGCAAACCUAUUAAAGGGGUCUUCCAUUAUUAAAGUUAGUGAAUAAACUUCACAAAUGCAUGCCAUUCAGUUUUGAAGCAUUUGUUGUUGCUCUGCCUGACAAGCUUUCAUGAAAUUUCUGAACAUCUGCUUGAAAUAUGAAUGUUUUUAUUUGGAAAGAUCUGAGAUGGAUAAUCUGUUCCAGUAACACAUACAUGUAUACCAACUUAAUAUUUUCUUAUGGUUGAUUUAGUACUCAAGAAUACUAUGUCAAUAUUUCACUGGAAAUGUCCAUAACUUUUGAUGUACUCUUCAGAAAUUAUGAGAAAUAUGAAGUUUACAUUAAAAACAUGAAGCUUGAGUGUUGGUAAAAGUCGAAAAAGUGGCUUUUGUGUGGAAUUUGAACUCAUCUUAAUAAAUGAGGAGAUGGCAAAAUUUUUGUUUUGAUAAUUUAAUGAACACUUUUGAAACAGUCAUUGAUCUUAAUUUCCAUCAUUGGGGAGAAGCCUUGCAUUAUAUUUUCAUAGAUUAUUCAUCAAACUCAUAGAAAACUGUUAGACAAUUUGGGGAAAAAUGGAGAAUGUUUGUGAAUAUGAAGUGGACCAACAUUGGAAUGUGGGGUAUUUUCCCAACUCUUGUGCAAGAAAAACAAGUAAAGGGGGAAAAAAAUGUGCAUUUGAUUUUAUUUCUUGGAAAGGAGUUUGAAAGUGCUAUCAUCUUUAUCAUUAUACAGCAGCUGUUUAGCACUAUAAUUUUGUUUUGUAUGAUGUAGUUUACAAGUUAUCUGGACAAGCCAAAUUAUAUUAAUUCUUGUUUCAAUUAAAAAUACAUGUGUGUAGAUUUAGCAUUUAGGAUAUGAAAAGUGAUUAAUUCAGCUUUUUAUUUUUAAUAUAUGAUUAUCACAUGUACAUUGGUAUCUUGUCAAUUCAAGUUGAAUCCUUCCUUCAUUUUAUUGACGAGGAGUUAGAGAAGGAAAACCUCCCAUUCCAUAUUAUUGUAUAAUAUUUUAUUUUCUAUUUUAACCAUAACGUUUGAAUUUGUCAUUCUUUCAAAGUUUUGUAAGGGAUUAUUUUAGAAUGAAACAAAGGAAUAUGGUUCCAUUUCAACCACUGCCAUUGUGUCAGCUGACAAGUCAUUUAUAUGCAUUUGGUACUCUCCACCCAGGGGCCUGUAACAUAUACUUCAGUUAUACUGUAGUUUACUAUAACUGUACAUCUGUAUUAAACAACAAAAAGUUACAAUGAUGGUAUCUAUUUGUUGCACACCACAGGUGUUGAUGUACAUGUAAAUUGGUCAAAACUCUCAGCUGGGGGAAAAUUGUCAAAUAUAUGCUUUGAGAGCUGAUAUUGCUACGUGUAGCAUAGCAGUGAUGAGUGAAGGAUCCAUGUUUUAUCAAUCGAUAAAGUAUAUUUAAAAUUUUGAUUGAAACGUUUGUAUAGGUCGUUCACAUAUUUUUCAUAUUUAUUUCAUGUAUAUGUAUUUGCAUUUGAAACGGUAUGUAUUGAAUUUUGAGUUCAUACAUAUGCAUAUUGGAGUUGUUUCCCUUUUAGUGGAUUUUUUUUUUUCAAUUUUGUACUUAUAGAUUCUGUGAUCUAAAUCACUGACGAUUUGGGGGAACCUACAUGAUCCUUCAGUAACCUGAUACUGAAUGAUUAAAUUAGAAACAAAUUUAAAUAUUUUGAAAUUUGAGAAGAUCAUUAUUCAGAUGAGUAAAGUAUUUUAUGUACCAGCCGAAAGAUACUAUAUUAUUAAAAGAUAAAUCAAAAGGCCUAUACAUGGAGAGGCGUUCAAAUUUAAUUUGAUAUAAAUUAUAAGGGUUGGAAUAAGAACUUGACCCUUUUACAUAGUCAGAUUCACAACUCAAGUAGAUAUUAUGAAUGUUACAGAAAUGUGCAAAAAAAAAGAAGAUUAUAACAAAGUAUUGUAUAUGUUUUAGAUUUUCCAUGCAUUUAUUUUAUUUUCAAAGGUAGUCUUACUCUUAUGAGGCCUAGAUGCCUUCAGUCUUAGCCAGUAUUAGAAUGAACUGUAGUAUGUAACUGUGUAUGUAGCAGUUAUUUGGUUAUUUGUGUUUGUUUAUUAGACUAUAAAUAGUCUACUCAGUUGAAUUUCAUUUUUGCUUUUGCAUCCAAUAUAUAUGUUUAAUAAUACUUUUACCUCAUGUUUUGUACUGUAUAUAAUGCUUUGAGAGAAUUUAUUUUUGGCUUGUACAUGUCCCAUGUGUGCGAGAACCUGUCAGAUAAUUAUGUUGCAUUUACUCUUAAUGUCAACCCCCCCCCCCCACCCCUUCAUCUCCAUUUCAGUUGUUUAUUUUGCUUUCACACCUGCUAUUACAAAAAUAGGAGAAAAUACUCGCUACAUGUUUUUGGAAACAUUGAAAAGCAUUCGGUAACAUUACAAAGGUGUUAGUAAACAGAUACUGAUUCCUAUUGUAUUUUACAUUGUUUGUAUGGAUGAAAAAUCAAGGAAGAAA